GCCACGGUGGUCUAGCGGUUAGAACGCUGGCCUUGUAAUCCUGGGGUCCCGGGUUCAAUUCCCGGCUGUGCCC
Molecule: transfer RNA, 73 nt
Filed under: Zootermopsis nevadensis
Lineage: Eukaryota; Metazoa; Arthropoda; Insecta; Blattodea; Termopsidae
Rfam family: tRNA
About the family: Transfer RNA (tRNA) molecules are approximately 80 nucleotides in length.
Source: Rfam by way of RNAcentral